GCAUAUCAAUAAGCGGAGGAAAAGAAACUAACAAGGAUUCCCCUAGUAACUGCGAGUGAAGCGGGAAAAGCUCAAAUUUAAAAUCUGGCGGUCUCUGGCCGUCCGAGUUGUAAUCUAGAGAAGUGCUAUCCGCGCUGGACCGUGUACAAGUCUCCUGGAACGGAGCGUCAUAGAGGGUGAGAAUCCCGUCUUUGACACGGACUACCAGGGCUUUGUGAUGUGCUCUCAAAGAGUCGAGUUGUUUGGGAAUGCAGCUCUAAAUGGGUGGUAAAUUCCAUCUAAAGCUAAAUAUUGGCGAGAGACCGAUAGCGAACAAGUACCGUGAGGGAAAGAUGAAAAGAACUUUGGAAAGAGAGUUAAACAGUACGUGAAAUUGUUGAAAGGGAAACGCUUGAAGUCAGUCGCGUUGGCUGGGGAUCAACCUUGCUCUUUUGCUUGGUGUACUUUCCAGUUGACGGGUCAGCAUCAAUUUUGACUGGUGGAUAAAGAUCAGGGGAAUGUGGCAUCUUCGGAUGUGUUAUAGCCUUUGGUUGCAUACAUCAGUUGGGAUUGAGGAACUCAGCACGCCGCAAGGCCGGGUCUUUGACCACGUACGUGCUUAGGAUGCUGGCAUAAUGGCUUUAAUCGACCCGUCUUGAAACACGGACC
This 648-nucleotide ribosomal RNA is filed under the name Collybia nuda. RNAcentral's name for it is "LSU rRNA". It matches the Rfam family "Eukaryotic large subunit ribosomal RNA", at positions 38 to 667 of the family's 3401-position model. Lineage: Eukaryota; Fungi; Basidiomycota; Agaricomycetes; Agaricales; Clitocybaceae. The record is from RNAcentral.